Molecule: non-coding RNA, 69 nt
Organism: Pseudonocardia sp. HH130629-09
Lineage: Bacteria; Bacillati; Actinomycetota; Actinomycetes; Pseudonocardiales; Pseudonocardiaceae
Rfam family: ASpks TB sRNA
Source: Rfam
CUUCACCGACCCGAGCAGCAGCGGCUCGGUCCGGUCCUGCCCGUAGGUCGCGAGCAGGGCCUGGGCCUC